Long non-coding RNA from Salvelinus namaycush (lake trout), 274 nucleotides. RefSeq lists it as uncharacterized. The transcript has 3 exons. The record is from RefSeq and is a predicted model, not a curated record. NCBI's taxonomy places the organism in Eukaryota, Metazoa, Chordata, Actinopteri, Salmoniformes, Salmonidae.
AUUGAACUGUAUUCUGCUUGUUUCUUUUGAAAGACUACAUUUAAACAGGUGACUUCUCUAUAGUGCGAAAUGGAUUGUCAACACCAUAUUACCUCAUGUCCUUUGAGAAUACUUUGCCUUUUUAAUCUGGUAUCCUCUGUAUUGUUGUCCAGCUGUCCUCAUAUCUGUGACCCAGGCUUCAUUAUUGACAAGUGUAAGUGUGUCCGUUGUGCCAAUGACUACUACUGGUACACGCAGAACGGCCUUCCGAAGUGUGACCGCUGCAGCGAAGCCU